GACGAACGCUGGCGGCGUGCCUAAUACAUGCAAGUCGAGCGGACCGAUGGGGGCGUUGCUCCUUUAGGUUAGCGGCGGACGGGUGAGUAACACGUGGGCAACCUGCCCUGCAGACUGGGAUAACUUCGGGAAACCGGAGCUAAUACCUUAUGACGCAUUUCGGUCGCAUGUUUGGAAUGCCAAAGAUUUAUUGCACAUAGAUGAGCUCGCGUCCCAUUAGAUAGUUGGUGAGGUAACGGCCCACCAAGUCGACGAUGGGUAGCCGGACUGAGAGGUUGAACGGCCACAUUGGAACUGAGAAACGGUCCAG
RNAcentral lists this ribosomal RNA (310 nucleotides) under uncultured bacterium. Its description in RNAcentral is "bacterial SSU rRNA". It matches the Rfam family "Bacterial small subunit ribosomal RNA", at positions 28 to 334 of the family's 1533-position model. The record is from RNAcentral.